Molecule: long non-coding RNA, 1139 nt
Filed under: Homo sapiens (human)
Lineage: Eukaryota; Metazoa; Chordata; Mammalia; Primates; Hominidae
Description: novel transcript
Source: RNAcentral
GGAGGACAGGCCAAUCGCUCCCAGCUAUUUGAGCCAAUGGAGAAGUUCCUGAUGCCCACACCUGCUGGUCUCACCGCUAGGGCCUGGGCAUCACAGGCAGGGGGAAUGGGGAGGGGACGGUAGCGUCAGCCUACACCCACACGCAGUUUCCUGAUAAAAGGUCCUUUGGAAACUUUGAUUCUCUUCUCACCAAGUUGAACGGAGAUGUGUUCCCAUAGUAAGAGUGAGGCCCCUGCAUUUGCUGCCCUCGGUUUUCCCAACUAACACCAGGGCCUCCCCCCUGUACCCCAUUCAUAUGCCUCAGAAGCUGACAAUGACUGUUGGGCUUUUCCAAUGAAUACCAGAACACCAUUUCCUGCAGCCUGAAAAGAAGACAGUAUAAUUGUUUGGCAGCAAGAGACAGGAUCUCGCUGCGUUGCUCAGACUGGUCUCGAACUCCUGGGCUUAAGGGAUUCUCCUGCCUCAAUCACAGCCUCCCAAGUAGCUGAGAUUAAAAGUGCUCACCACCGUGCCAGCGAGUUCAGUUUUUGAGAUAAGGGGAAAUUGGAGCUCAGAGAUUUAAGCCACCUGCCAGAGGUCACAUGGCCCAUAAAAGAUCUGUCCCAUUCCACCAAGGAUUUAAGGCUAAAGAUUUAAGUUGUGAAGAUGAUAAUGGAUUGACUCUAUGAAUGGCCACAUUUUUUUAUGCCUCCCUUUUCCCUUGUCCUCGGGCAGUGUCCUCCGACACUGACUCUGUGCUUGGCCCUGUGACUUGCUUUGGCCAAUGGUACAGCAGCAAACUUGAUGCAAACACAACUUGAAAAAGAAGAGGACAGCCAAGUCAUCCCAGCCAAGGCCACCCUGGACCAGCCAGCCUCUUGCCAAGCUGCCAGUGACCACAGAGUCCAAUUAACAACAGCCAGUCCUGGCCCAGGGUGGAGCCAAGACUCUGAGGAGAGGGCUGAACUGUGAACCUAGAAGUACCAUCUCCCCCUGCACACACCUUUGGUCAAGUUGACCCCAAGAAGAAGGACAAGUCCUCUGCACGGCGAUGAGGCCAUACACACAGUCUGUGGCCCGGCUUUGGGAGACUGAUGGGACAAAGGAUGUUUUGCACGAUCCUUGGUCUCUGAGCAAAUAUAUACAUGGGUUAACACAAA